Molecule: non-coding RNA, 1327 nt
Organism: Macaca mulatta (Rhesus monkey)
Lineage: Eukaryota; Metazoa; Chordata; Mammalia; Primates; Cercopithecidae
Source: RefSeq, a predicted model, not a curated record
AAUAUGUGGAGUUUUUUGUUUGUUUGUUUGUUUUUAUGACUCCUCAGGAUUCCUACUCUUUCAAUACAACAGUUCCACAAACUCACAUCCUAACAAACAGAUCUUAAUGAUCACAGAAACCAAUUCUUCACACAACACCGGUCACUGGGUUCACAGAUGCAAGUCUACAUGAUUUCCACAAGAAAGCCUAUCACUGAACUAACGGAAGCAUUUACUUGAGAAUGGACCGUAGAAUUGUUCUAACUUCAGCAAAUUCCACUCCAGCCAGAAGCCUGGACUCCCCCUAGGCGUCUUUGGAUUUUGUUGUCUUGUUCUGCAAGCUUUCCAAGUUUUCCCUUGUUUCGCAUUUGGCUAACCCUGGUCUUUUGAGGCGCUAAGGACUGGAGAGCUGCUUCCCCUUUCUCAUAAAAUGUGCUGACAGAGGCCAUGGCCCAGUGGCUGUCAGGAGAGCAGAGUCCACAUCCCACUGGAGAUGCCAAAGAGGAGCCAACACUGCAUUCCUGGACCCCUCUGUGCCCCGACCCAGCUUGUGCCCUCCGUCUGGCUAGUCAGCCAUUCAGGGACAGGGGCAGAUGAGAAUCUGGUCUGAGAGUGGCAGCAGUGGCAGCGGAGCGUCCGUGCUGCAGUGCCUCUGCUUCCGCCAUUCUCCAAGCCUGGCUCGCCUGCCCUCCUAACAAUUCCCAGAGCUGCCGGGCAAUUAUCCUUCUCUCAGUCAGCAUGAGACAGUUUCUGUUGCAUGCAACGAAGAACCCUGAUUCGAACAGCACUAAACUGUGAUUCAUACAGUGGAAAGAGACUGUGCUUAGAUAAGAUGCCAGGCCUUGAAUGUGCCUCAUUUUCCCAAUUAAAAUAUGGAGCUGCUAACACUAGCUCUAUUUCACUGAAUUCUUGAAAAAAUAAUAAUAAUAAUAACCUGUACAAAUGCAAAAUCCUUUGGAAUUGUUAAGUGACAUGGACAAAACAAAGAUGUGUACAUGUUUUUGAACCAGUUUAUUUUACUAAAAGAAAUGCAAAUUUCAAAGCCAGAGAAGAAAAACAACAACAACAAAAAAAAGAUUUCAUGCAGAAAUGCUGUUCCAUGUCCAUGUUCCAGUUUCUCCAUGCAGUAGGUGGGAAUCCAGCCUACACAACAGCCUGCUUGAAUUUCUCUGCUCCUGGGAGCCACCUGGGAGCAGAAAAGAGUUUAUUCACAAACCCAACAAUGCCAUCUAAAGUUUUGAAAAGCAUUCCACUUAGCCAUAAUUUCACCUGUGUGUCACAACUUCGGUGAGCUUCCCUGCCCUGUACUGAAGCCACUGAGAUAAAUACAGGACCCUGGUCUCAAGAA